ACACGUAGGGGCCUGACGUUGUUCGGAAUCAUUGGGCGUAAAGGGCGCGCAGGCGGCCGUCCAAGUCCGGUGUUAAAUGUUCGGGCUCAACCCGAUCAUGCGCUGGAAACUGGGCGGCUGGAGUCCCGGAGGGGAUGCCGGAAUUCCAGGUGUAGGGGUGAAAUCUGUAGAUAUCUGGAAGAACACCGAUGGCGAAGGCAGGCAUCUGGCCGGAGACUGACGCUGAGGCGCGAAGGCGCGGGGAGCGAACAGGUUUAGAUACCCUGGUAGUCCGCGCAGUAAACGAUGCGCACCAGGUGUCGGGCGGCAGCGCCCGGUACCGGAGCAAACGCGAUGAGUGCGCCGCCUGGGGAGUAUGCCCGCAAGGGUGAAACUCAAAGGAAUUGGCGGGG
RNAcentral lists this ribosomal RNA (392 nucleotides) under uncultured bacterium. Its description in RNAcentral is "partial 16S ribosomal RNA". It matches the Rfam family "Bacterial small subunit ribosomal RNA", at positions 523 to 918 of the family's 1533-position model. The record is from RNAcentral.